UGGGAUUUAGCUCAGUGGUAGAGCGCUUGCCUAGCAAGCACAAGGCCCUGGGUUCGGUCCCCAGCUCAA
RNAcentral lists this transfer RNA (69 nucleotides) under Rattus norvegicus (Norway rat). It matches the Rfam family "tRNA". Rfam says of the family: Transfer RNA (tRNA) molecules are approximately 80 nucleotides in length. Lineage: Eukaryota; Metazoa; Chordata; Mammalia; Rodentia; Muridae. The record is from Rfam by way of RNAcentral.